AGGUGCCAUCACGACGUUCACGGAGGGCGAACUGGGGUCGUGACAUUCCUUAGAAUUAACUUAGGGGUAUUUGGGUCAUUUGUAGCCAAAUACCUACUCUAGUAUAAAUAGCCCUUAAGGCUUUUAUUUUAGGUAGACUUGAUAAUGAUAAACUUGAAGACAUGCAAGUCUCACAAUUUAUCCUUAUCUUUUAAUUAAUGCAUUUAUGUUUAUGUCUUUAAUUUCUUUAUUGCUUUCAAUAGUGUUAAAUUAAUCUUAGUUGGUGAGAAAUUAGUAGUGAAUACUUAAUUGCUUAAUUACUUUAUCCGGACUUUCAAGAGUUGCCAAUCUCUUGAGGGUUUCGUAGCUUAGUGUUAUAAUUGAUUGAGUUCAUAGAUGUAAUUAGGCUUCAUAUCCUAAUUGGUUCUUGUUCUUCCAAUCAAUUGUGGGUCUAGCUUUUAUGUUCAUAGCUUAGAGUUACAAUUGAUUGAGUUCAUAGAGGUAAUAGGUUUCUCAUUCUAAUUGGUUCUUGUUCUUCCAAUCAAUUGUAGGUGUAGCUCUUAUUUUUAAUUCCGCGUGUUUUGCUAUAUCCGUGUUUUCGAUACGAUUCCGUAUCAUCUUGGUAUCAGAGCCGAGGUUUUGGAUUGUUCUAUCAAUCCUUGGUCUUUGUUUUGAUUAUCAACAAAUCUGAAAAUCAAUAAUAAUAAUAAUAAGAAGAAGAAAAAUUACCAAAAAAGGAAUGUUUACUGUUCAUCCGAUUGGCUUGUGACUAAAAUAGAAAUCGUAUGCCUCGUUCAUCACUUAUUAGAGCCGAGGUUUUGAAUUGUUCUGUCAAUCCUUGGUCUUUGUUUUGUUUAUUAACAAAUCUGAAAAUCAAAAAAAAAAUAAUACUGUAAUAAUAAGAAAACUUACCAAAAAAGGAAUGUUUGCUGUUCAUCCGAUUGGUUUGUGACUAAAACACAAAAUCGUAUGCCUCGUUCAUCACUUUUUCAUUUAGAAACUUUGAUUUCCUUGUUCUCGUUGUCGAUUCUGGUUCUGAAAUUUGUGAUUUCUUCAUUUUAUGAGAUUGAAUUACUGAUUUGAGCUCGGAUUCGAAGAUUUGAACCCAGAAUUUACAAUCAGCUGAACCGAAAAAAGAAGAAUCUAGGGUUGGUUUUGAUUAUGAAAAAAAAUUGGAGGUUCAAAAUCAAUUGGGUGUUCGAGAUUUUUAGUUGGAAACACUGAAACGAAGUGAAAUCUGAAGAUUGAGCUCGAUUUGAACUGAUUUUCUAGGGUUUUGAGUUCGAAAAUUGUCGAACGAGUUUUUUUUAGGAAGAAGACCGACUGGGCAUUCAGUUUUGGUGGCUGUCCUUACAAAUUAGGUACUGGGGUUUGAUUAUAGUGCUGUUGUGAAGCUUGUACUGAGACUUGAGAUGGUUUUGAGCCGAUUUGAAAGUGAUUUGAUUGGAAAAUUUGGAGCUGAUUUUGUGGAGAAAAAGAACUGAAUUCUUUGAAUUUGCGGGUGAUAUCUUCAAAUCGAUUUCUGGGAGUGAUUCUUAUGCUUUUGGAAAUCGAAUUCAAAGUGUGAGUCCAUUUGAUGAACAUUUGAGCCAACUGAUAUUGAAGGUCGAAGUAGAAGAACACUAGUUUCAAUUGAAGAACUUCGCGGACUGAUUCGACUCAACUCGAGCAGCUGACAAAUCGUCGCGACGAAUCAGGUUUGAUUCUUUGUGAUUAGAACUGAGCUUCAUCUCUAAUUUCUGGGAAUUUGAGUUGAAUUAUCUGAAGUGAAACUGAAAAUUUCAUCUCUAUAAUUCUGGAAUUUUAUUAUUGUUGCGCGUUGGCUCAGUCUUGAGUUUGUUCGAAUCUGUGUGUGCGAUCCUUAGUCAAACUGAAUGGAGAAUUCAUUUGAAAGGACUGAGAUUAAUUCCUUGAGAUUGAACUGAAACUCUGUCUUUACAUUCUUCUGAUAAUUGUUUAUUGAGGUCGAUAUUUAGAGUGUUUGAGUUGAUUGUGGGAUUCAAUUCUGAUCCUUCUAGUAAAUCUAUCAUAGUUUCUGCUGAUAAGAACUGUGUUUGCUAGUGAAGCUUCAUUUGGUUUCUGAACUUCUGAGACCCGAAUUGAGACUGUGUGAUCGAGUUUAUUGCUCUUGUUGCUGGUAAUUACGACUGAGUUUUUGAUUCUCUAAGCUUGCAUUUUCUGAGUGUUGAGCUACAAUUUUCCUUGCUUCUGCUUGUGAGCUGAAUUUGCAGUUCAUAGUUCUUUGAGUGAAUUCGUGGGCGCAAAUCAAGGUUGCUAUCGAAUUGUGAACUGAUAAUCGUCUUCUUCCUAUUAAUGAAGUAGUGACUACCAAUUGAGAUUCUUAUUGAAUGUGAUUGAGCUGAAGUCUGUCGUAGUUGCUGCAAGUUUGAAAAUCCAUCUUUGUGUUACGAUUUGAGAUUGAUUACUUGAAUUGAGAACUGAAGAUUUCUUCUUGUUAGUUGCUGUUAGAAGAGUCCUAAUUUCAGAUUAUUUAGCUAUAGCGUGCUGUCCAGUUUCUGCAAUAAUUCUGCAGUGUUUUAGCUUGCCUUUUGAUAAAUUUUGAGUAGCAUUUUUAAGUGUUCUGCAAAACCGAGCCACAAAAUUUCUGCGCUGUUUGCUCCUCUGUUAUUUGCUAAAAAUCUGCAGAAUUUUGGACUGUUGAACCUCAUAAGUUGCACAGUUGAGCUGAAAACUUCUGCAACUUGUCUGCACUUCAGAGCUGCUGAAACUGCAAAAUAGGACUGCUGCACCUUCUUUUGCAUUGUUUGAGCUGAUUUGGGGACUUCACUUAGUCAAAUUGUUGAAGCAGUUGGCUGAGAAACAUCAGGGAGUUGAGAAUAAUCUGGAAGGGAUUCUGCAAAGUUCAAAGCUGAUUGUCUGCACAGUUUCCGCUUCUUUGUCUGAAAUUGCUGAACUUCUUUGCCUGGACUGGAACCCGAGUGCAUUGAGGACCUAUCAGUGUUUGCAUAGCUGAGGCUACAAUAGUUUGUGAAGACUGGAAACUAAGUUGGAUUGAAUUAGUUUGCGAGCAUGAACUGAAAGUACCGCACUAACAAUUGAGGCUUGGAUCGCAAGGUUGAAUCUUUUACCGAAUGGUGAAGAACACUGCUCAGAAGAACCCCAACAGCCUGCAGUUUUGCCAGCAUUUGUGAAUUUGUCCAGAGUUAUAGAUUUGGCCAUUCUUUGCAAAUCUGACCAGUUUUACAAAAAAAAUAGCCAAUUUUGCGAAUAUGACCAAAAUUUUGAAAAGUGUCUAGUUUUGUGUUCCUUUUCUUUUCUUUUCCACUUUGUAUUAAACUCAACUCUAAGCUAGAUUAACUUGAUAUUAGUUCAUAUUGAGUUUAUUUCUAGUUUCUUUGUGUGCUUUGUCUAUUUCGUGCCAUUUCUUUCGUGCUUUUCUCUUUAUUUUCGUUGUGAACUGUUUGGCUCAAGUCCGUUUGCUUUUUAAUAGUCCGUCCUUGUGAAUACACAACUUUCACGCCACCCCGAAGACGGUUGUAACUUGUUGUGAAACCUUGGGACUUAGGUUUGCAUGCGAUUUUGACAUUGACUACUUGAGCUGAAAAAGGCAAGAGUGAAUAAGACUUUGAUCGCGCAAAAGCCAAUUGGUGCAAUGUGUGAUACACGAGGGUUGAGCGACAUCAAGUGAGUUGGUGAGGACUUUUACUACUAACCUAUUUUCUCGUUUUGUAGGUAUCAUGGAGUACGGACAAACUUCUAGUCUUAAUUGUGAACCAAGGAGUGAGACUCCGAUGCAUGAAGUUGUUUCUAUGCUUUAUGACAUAAGUGAGAAGGUUACCAAUAUUACCAUAUGGUAACACCAAACGGAUGCAAGGUUGAAUUCCUUGAUAGCUGAAUCUCACUUGAGGCAUCAAGGAAGAGAGAGUAGUAUGAUGCUUACUAAUUUCUCUACUACACCCCCUUCUUCACAAGUGCGACAAAUGCUUCAAAGGAAAAUUUUGCAACACAACCAACCUAACCAAAAGGACAUUAUUUUCCUCCACCAAAUUACCGACCACCUGCCCACUACCAACCUCCAAUCACACAUCAACCACUACAUGUACCUCAACUACAACCUUAUCAAACCCCAGCCCUACUGGUGCCACAACCACAACUCUACCAAGUUGUUUUCCACCACCCCUAGUGUACUACCCACAAGCACACCAACCACCAUUUAGACCUCAAGUUCCACUAUGGAGGGACAAUCUCCCUCCCCCACCACUCAUACCACUUCAAGAGCCUCGGUUGAUGAACAAUCCACUUUUUCAAUAUUAUCAAGAGGACACCUUGAAUGAGUUGGACAACAUCCAACAAGUUUUCAAUUACGAAUAUAGGAGCGAUGAAGUGAACCAAAGGGGAAGAGGCCAAAUGAGUUUGAGUACAUCCUUGAAAAAUUCAAAAAAAAAAGGACUUUUGAAGACGAACCAUCAAUUGAAGUUCAAUGCACUUUGAAGAGCUUGGAAGAAGAUCGAACUACCUUUUCAAGAGGACUUAUGAGAAUUCAAUGAGAAAGUGCAAGGUAAAGAGAAUACUUUAGAUGAGCUUCAAGGUAAAAUAGCUUAUCCUUCUACUCUUGCUAGUUUGGUUGAUUGUGGUGACACUUUGAGUUUGAAAGACAACUAUGACAUUGAUGAGUUUGAUGCCUCUUUAUCUUGCAGUGAGAAUAAUAGUUAUGGCUUGCAACUAGCUAGGAAUUCUUUUGCAUUACUGGAUGAUUCCAGUUCUUUGAUAAAUUACUCCUUAGCUAGUGAUGUGUGUGAUGUUGAAUCUUAUGAUACCCCACCUUGUGUUGAUGAUUCUUUUGAUUCUA
This is a long non-coding RNA of Nicotiana attenuata, 4789 nucleotides long. RefSeq lists it as uncharacterized. NCBI's taxonomy places the organism in Eukaryota, Viridiplantae, Streptophyta, Magnoliopsida, Solanales, Solanaceae. The record is from RefSeq and is a predicted model, not a curated record. The transcript has 2 exons.